This 225-nucleotide unclassified non-coding RNA is filed under the name plant metagenome. Its description in RNAcentral is "partial contains small subunit ribosomal RNA, internal transcribed spacer 1, and 5.8S ribosomal RNA". The record is from RNAcentral.
UCUCCAUUGGUGAACCAGCGGAGGGAUCAUUACAGGACUCGCAAGACUCCUACAACCCUGUGAACUUAACUAUAAGCACGUUGCUUCGGCGGGUGUCUCGGAGGGGGUUCUCCCUCCCCGAGACGCUAAACCCGCCGGCAGCCUACUAUACUCUGUCUCUUUGCGUUGGCAUCUCGAGUACAAUCAAACAAGUUAAAACUUUCAACAACGGAUCUCUUGGUUCUG